UACGGAGGGGGCGAGCGUUACCCGGAUUUACUGGGUGUAAAGGGCGUGUAGGCGGUCUCUCAAGUCCGAUGCUAAAGACCGAAGCUCAACUUCGGGGGUGCGUUGGAUACUGUGAGGCUAGACGGUCGGAGAGGGUAGCGGAAUUUCCGGAGUAGCGGUGAAAUGCUCAGAUACCGGAAGGAACGCCAAUAGCGAAGGCAGCUACCUGGACGAUUUGUGACGCUGAGGCCCGAAAGCGUGGGGAGCAAACCGG
This 253-nucleotide ribosomal RNA is filed under the name uncultured bacterium. RNAcentral's name for it is "partial 16S ribosomal RNA". It matches the Rfam family "Bacterial small subunit ribosomal RNA", at positions 524 to 776 of the family's 1533-position model. The record is from RNAcentral.